GACGAACGCUGGCUGCGUGCUUAACACAUGCAAGUCGAACGCUGAAGCCUGGUGCUUGCACCGGGUGGAUGAGUGGCGAACGGGUGAGUGACACGUGAGUAACCUGCCCCUGACUUCGGGAUAAGCCCGGGAAACUGGGUCUAAUACCGGAUACGACUGCCGGACGCAUGUCUGGUGGUGGAAAGUUUUUUCGGUUGGGGAUGGGCUCGCGGCCUAUCAGUUUGUUGGUGAGGUAAUGGCUCACCAAGACGACGACGGGUAGCCGGCCUGAGAGGGCGACCGGCCACACUGGGACUGAGACACGGCCCAGACUCCUACGGGAGGCAGCAGUGGGGAAUAUUGCACAAUGGGGGAAACCCUGAUGCAGCGACGCAGCGUGCGGGAUGACGGCCUUCGGGCUGUAAACCGCUUUCAGCAGGGAAGAAGCGCAAGUGACGGUACCUGCAGAAGAAGUACCGGCUAACUACGUGCCAGCAGCCGCGGUAAUACGUAGGGUACGAGCGUUGUCCGGAAUUAUUGGGCGUAAAGAGCUCGUAGGUGGUUGGUCACGUCUGCUGUGGAAACGCAACGCUUAACGUUGCGCGUGCAGUGGGUACGGGCUGACUAGAGUGCAGUAGGGGAGUCUGGAAUUCCUGGUGUAGCGGUGAAAUGCGCAGAUAUCAGGAGGAACACCGGUGGCGAAGGCGGGACUCUGGGCUGUAACUGACACUGAGGAGCGAAAGCAUGGGGAGCGAACAGGAUUAGAUACCCUGGUAGUCCAUGCCGUAAACGUUGGGCACUAGGUGUGGGGGGCAUUCCACGUUCUCCGCGCCGUAGCUAACGCAUUAAGUGCCCCGCCUGGGGAGUACGGUCGCAAGGCUAAAACUCAAAGGAAUUGACGGGGGCCCGCACAAGCGGCGGAGCAUGCGGAUUAAUUCGAUGCAACGCGAAGAACCUUACCAAGGCUUGACAUACACCGGACCGUCCUGGAAACAGGUCCUCUUCUUUGAAGCUGGUGUACAGGUGGUGCAUGGUUGUCGUCAGCUCGUGUCGUGAGAUGUUGGGUUAAGUCCCGCAACGAGCGCAACCCUCGUUCUAUGUUGCCAGCACGUGAUGGUGGGAACUCAUAGGAGACUGCCGGGGUCAACUCGGAGGAAGGUGGGGAUGACGUCAAAUCAUCAUGCCCUUUAUGUCUUGGGCUUCACGCAUGCUACAAUGGCUGGUACAGAGAGAGGCGAACCCGUGAGGGCAAGCGAAUCCCUUAAAGCCAGUCUCAGUUCGGAUCGUAGUCUGCAAUUCGACUACGUGAAGUCGGAGUCGCUAGUAAUCGCAGAUCAGCAACGCUGCGGUGAAUACGUUCCCGGGCCU
RNAcentral lists this ribosomal RNA (1347 nucleotides) under uncultured bacterium. RNAcentral describes it as "bacterial SSU rRNA". It matches the Rfam family "Bacterial small subunit ribosomal RNA", at positions 28 to 1381 of the family's 1533-position model. The record is from RNAcentral.